AUUGAACGCUGGCGGCAGGCCUAACACAUGCAAGUCGAACGGUAACAGGAAGAAGCUUGCUUCUUUGCUGACGAGUGGCGGACGGGUGAGUAAUGUCUGGGAAACUGCCUGAUGGAGGGGGAUAACUACUGGAAACGGUAGCUAAUACCGCAUAACGUCGCAAGACCAAAGAGGGGGACCUUCGGGCCUCUUGCCAUCGGAUGUGCCCAGAUGGGAUUAGCUAGUAGGUGGGGUAACGGCUCACCUAGGCGACGAUCCCUAGCUGGUCUGAGAGGAUGACCAGCCACACUGGAACUGAGACACGGUCCAGACUCCUACGGGAGGCAGCAGUGGGGAAUAUUGCACAAUGGGCGCAAGCCUGAUGCAGCCAUGCCGCGUGUAUGAAGAAGGCCUUCGGGUUGUAAAGUACUUUCAGCGGGGAGGAAGGGAGUAAAGUUAAUACCUUUGCUCAUUGACGUUACCCGCAGAAGAAGCACCGGCUAACUCCGUGCCAGCAGCCGCGGUAAUACGGAGGGUGCAAGCGUUAAUCGGAAUUACUGGGCGUAAAGCGCACGCAGGCGGUUUGUUAAGUCAGAUGUGAAAUCCCCGGGCUCAACCUGGGAACUGCAUCUGAUACUGGGCAAGCUUGAGUCUCGUAGAGGGGGGUAGAAUUCCAGGUGUAACGGUGAAAUGCCGUAGAGAUCUAGAAAGAGAUACCGGUGUCGAAGGGGCCCCCGGGAGAAGGACGACCCCCCAGUGCGAAGCGUGGGAGCGAACACGAGUAAUAGCAAUUAAUCAAGGCAAAAUGGGGUGGGUACCAGCUAUCCCCCCUCGACGGCAGGGCGGCGGGGACCAAGGGUGUUUUUUAUCCUACAAAAAACAAAUAUAGGGG
RNAcentral lists this ribosomal RNA (871 nucleotides) under uncultured Enterobacteriaceae bacterium. RNAcentral describes it as "bacterial SSU rRNA". It matches the Rfam family "Bacterial small subunit ribosomal RNA", at positions 28 to 840 of the family's 1533-position model. The record is from RNAcentral. Lineage: Bacteria; Pseudomonadati; Pseudomonadota; Gammaproteobacteria; Enterobacterales; Enterobacteriaceae.